AUUUGCUGACUGGUCGAUGCUAGAUGAUCUUGAGACCCUGUGCUGAGGACUGGAGAACUACAGGAAAGGAGCAGUAUCUCUGAAUUAUCGUGUGGAAGGUCACUUGUCUAGCCCCUGAUGACUGUGAGCCUCUUCCUCCUGCUUGCCACCUCUCAGUCACAAGACGGCUGCUGCGACUCAGGCUCAUGUCCCAAUUCAAGGCAGCAAGAAGGCCAUGGAGCGGCACCUGCCAGCUCCUGUCUCCCCAUCCCCUAGAAUCGUUGACAAAAUGAGUGACACUGCCCUGGGAUCUGGGUCUCUGGUUGAGGCCUUGGAGCUACUGCCUCUGCCUGUGAACUCACCCAUCAUCGCUAACAGGUUGCUCCACAGCCUACAGAUCUCAAUAUUUCGCUAGCACAAAACCCAAGCGGCCAGGCACGGUGGCUCACGCCUGUAAUCCCAGCACUUUGGGAGGCCGAGGCGGGUGGAUCACUUGAGGUCAGGAGUUCGAGACCAGCCUGACCAACAUGGAGAAACCCCGUCUCUACUAAAAAUACAAAAU
RNAcentral lists this long non-coding RNA (541 nucleotides) under Homo sapiens (human). RNAcentral describes it as "HSALNT0324107". Lineage: Eukaryota; Metazoa; Chordata; Mammalia; Primates; Hominidae. The record is from RNAcentral.